GACGAACGCUGGCGGCGUGCUUAACACAUGCAAGUCGAACGGAAAGGCCCCUUCGGGGGUACUCGAGUGGCGAACAGGUGAGUAACACGUGAGUAACCUGCCCUUGGCUUCGGGAUAACUUCAGGAAACUGGGGCUAAUACCGGAUAGGAAUCCUUGCUGCAUGGUGGGGGUUGGAAAGCUUCGGCGGUUUUGGAUGGACUCGCGGCUUAUCAGCUUGUUGGUGGGGUAGUGGCUUACCAAGGCUUUGACGGGUAGCCGGCCUGAGAGGGCGACCGGCCACAUUGGGACUGAGAUACGGCCCAGACUCCUACGGGAGGCAGCAGUGGGGAAUAUUGCACAAUGGGCGGAAGCCUGAUGCAGCAACGCCGCGUGCGGGAUGACGGCCUUCGGGUUGUAAACCGCUUUCAGCAGGGGCGAAGCUUGUGGUGACGGUACCUGCAGAAGAAGCACCGGCUAACUACGUG
RNAcentral lists this ribosomal RNA (465 nucleotides) under uncultured bacterium. Its description in RNAcentral is "partial 16S ribosomal RNA". It matches the Rfam family "Bacterial small subunit ribosomal RNA", at positions 28 to 507 of the family's 1533-position model. The record is from RNAcentral.